RNAcentral lists this ribosomal RNA (506 nucleotides) under uncultured bacterium. RNAcentral describes it as "partial 16S ribosomal RNA". It matches the Rfam family "Bacterial small subunit ribosomal RNA", at positions 29 to 523 of the family's 1533-position model. The record is from RNAcentral.
AGUGAACGCUGGCGGUAGGCCUAACACAUGCAAGUCGAACGGCAGCACAGGAGAGCUUGCUCUCUGGGUGGCGAGUGGCGGACGGGUGAGGAAUACAUCGGAAUCUACUCUGUCGUGGGGGAUAACGUAGGGAAACUUACGCUAAUACCGCAUACGACCUACGGGUGAAAGCAGGGGAUCUUCGGACCUUGCGCGAUUGAAUGAGCCGAUGUCGGAUUAGCUAGUUGGCGGGGUAAAGGCCCACUAAGGCGACGAUCCGUAGCUGGUCUGAGAGGAUGAUCAGCCACACGGUAACUGAGACACGGUCCAGACUCCUACGGGAGGCAGCAGUGGGGAAUAUUGGACAAUGGGCGCAAGCCUGGUCCAGCCAUACCGCGUGGGUGAAGAAGGCCUUCGGGUUGUAAAGCCCUUUUGUUGGGAAAGAAAUCCAGCUGGCUAAUACCCGGUUGGGAUGACGGUACCCAAAGAAUAAGCACCGGCUAACUUCGUGCCAGCAGCCGCCGUAA